CGGUCCAGACUCCUACGGGAGGCAGCAGUGGGGAAUAUUGCACAAUGGGGGGAACCCUGAUGCAGCCAUGCCGCGUGUAUGAAGAAGGCCUUCGGGUUGUAAAGUACUUUCGGUGAUGAGGAAGGAGAUGUAUCUAAUAGGUACAUUAAUUGACGUUAAUUACAGAAGAAGCACCGGCUAACUCCGUGCCAGCAGCCGCGGUAAUACGGAGGGUGCGAGCGUUAAUCGGAAUGACUGGGCGUAAAGGGCAUGUAGGCGGAUAAUUAAGUUAGGUGUGAAAGCCCUGGGCUCAACCUAGGAAUUGCACUUAAAACUGGUUAACUAGAGUAUUGUAGAGGAAGGUAGAAUUCCACGUGUAGCGGUGAAAUGCGUAGAGAUGUGGAGGAAUACCGGUGGCGAAGGCGGCCUUCUGGACAGAUACUGACGCUGAGAUGCGAAAGCGUGGGGAGCAAACAGGAUUAGAUACCCUGGUAGUCCACGCUGUAAACGAUGUCGAUUUGGAGUUUGUUGCCUAGAGUGAUGGGCUCCGAAGCUAACGCGAUAAAUCGACCGCCUGGGGAGUACGGCCGCAAGGUUAAAACUCAAAUGAAUUGACGGGGGCCCGCACAAGCGGUGGAGCAUGUGGUUUAAUUCGAUGCAACGCGAAGAACCUUACCUGGUCUUGACAUCCACAGAAUCUUGUAGAGAUACGAGAGUGCCUUCGGGAACUGUGAGACAGGUGCUGCAUGGCUGUCGUCAGCUCGUGUUGUGAAAUGUUGGGUUAAGUCCCGCAACGAGCGCAACCCUUAUCCUUUGUUGCCAUCGAUUCGGUCGGGAACUCAAAGGAGACUGCCGUUGAUAAAGCGGAGGAAGGUGGGGACGACGUCAAGUCAUCAUGGCCCUUACGACCAGGGCUACACACGUGCUACAAUGGCGUAUACAAAGGGAGGCGACCUCGCGAGAGUAAGCGGACCUCACAAAGUACGUCUAAGUCCGGAUUGGAGUCUGCAACUCGACUCC
Molecule: ribosomal RNA, 999 nt
Filed under: Gilliamella sp. Bif1-4
Lineage: Bacteria; Pseudomonadati; Pseudomonadota; Gammaproteobacteria; Orbales; Orbaceae
Description: bacterial SSU rRNA
Rfam family: Bacterial small subunit ribosomal RNA
Source: RNAcentral